GCUAUGCCUCCUGCUGUUCUUUUUAAUUCAAUAUAUUGAUAUGUUUCUUUUAACUUUUUAUAUGCUUUACUUCCGCACUUUACAUUAUAUGGAUGGUAUAUAUAUAUAUAUAUAUAUAUAUAUUAGGCCUUUAGUGAUAUUGAUUAAAGAUUUCCAAAUUUUUUUUUUUAAUUUGAAAACGUUUAAAUUAAAACUGCAUCUUAAAAGAUCCGCUCCUUGAAAAUAGUAUCACGGGGUAUAACUAAACAAAAAAGAUACACUAUCAUGUUUUGUCCUAUAACUAGAAUACAAAACCCUUCAAAACAUUGAUAGCCAUAGAAGCCCUUCAAAAUAUUGAUAGCAACACUCCCCAAGCAUAACCCAUUUGUUAAAUUGGGAGGGAGAGAGGGAAAGAGAGAUAACGUGAUAAUUUAUUUAUUUAAUAUUAGAGAUAUGCUAGAAUCAUAUGUGAAAAUGUCAAAUUUGAUUUAUGUGAAAUUAUAUUACUGUCUAUGAUUUUAAAUUGUCUUCUAACCACGCGGUUGAUAUGAUCACUCUUACAAAAUCAUCAGAUUAUUUAUGUUUUGGUCUUAACGACUUCAUACUGGUUUCACGAGGUGUGAGAGCUACUACUCUGCUAAGAAAUCAGCACCAAAUAUUGAAAAAAGCAUAUAACUCAAGUGGUUUCAUGUGCGCUUGAAAUCUUGUACUCAAAUCACCUCCCAAUAGUACUUGCAUUAAAAGAAUACAAAGGCAUAUAACUCAAGUAGUAAUUAUACACAUCUCGUUUUUUAUUAACUAUGAAAAAAAAGCUCACUAAAAUGUGCUUUAUUGCAUGUUUAAUGUCCUUUUGUUCAUGAGAGUUUUUAUUUUGAUUGAAGUUAAAUAUGAACGCAACAAAAACUUAUAAAAAAGCAAAACAAAGUUAUUUUAGAAUACCUUAUACUUUCACACUGGUAAUUUCUCGCAGACGUCGUUAGCCUGAACCCUAAACUUCAAACCCUGCAAUCGAUCUUUAGUGUAUCUGCCAGUUCGAAUCCCAAGACCUAUUGGAUUCGAACAUCACUCAAACCCAACAGAGUACAAGGGAACCAGCCGCGUUAACUAAAAAAAAAGAUGUGCUAUCCACACACUUCAUUUUACUUUUCACACACCUUUUGUUAAUUUAUGUCUAUUGAUCUUUUUCAAUUUAUCCGAUCCGACGGUUGAAAAUUAGAAGGAUGUGUGAGAAGUAAAAAAGGAUGUGUGGAUAUUUCUAAGGACUUGGCCGGGCCUUUGUCGUCAAUGGCCAACUGGGCGAACUCCUUUUUAUUCUGAAACUCCAUUCACUCUUGUAUGAGUCGAUCCUCACAAAUGGAUAGUGUUUUUGUUGUUUUUUUUUGUCACAUCCAUUAUUUUAAUAAAUCGUGUCGUGUCAAACUCAUUAUAUUAAUGGGUUCUUAACAUGUGAUCCGAGAAUGAUUCGACUCGGUAGUGAAUCAACUCAAAACCUGUUAUUUUCGUGUCGUUUAGUGUUGGUUUAAAGACUCAUGUAAGAAAUUGUCAUGCCUAAUGUCUAGACUUGACAAAUGGGUCGUGUUCGUGUCGUUUAUAUGUCGUACCUGUUAUCUUGAUAGGUUAUAGGUGAUCUGAUAAUGACUCGAAACUUGUUAUAAUCCACCACUAUUAACACCUCUAUUCUCAUCACUACUACUCCAACCACCAUUGCUACUCACACCACUCUCGUCUCAACCACCAUCGUCACCAUUAUUACCAAACAGAAAUUUGUAUUUUUUUUGACAUUUGGUACCAAACGUGUUUUCUAUUGUUUUUGUUUUGCAAGACAAUUUUUCAAAAAUAGUUUUGCAAAACAUUACUGACCCUUAUGGUACAGUAAAAUCUCCGCAAAACAGAGUUUUAUGAAGGUUGUUGCAUUUUGCAAAACCGAUCCAACUUUGUAAGCAUCUUUUAUUUGACUAUGAUUGUUGAGUAUUUAUAUAUCUUUGCGAGCGCUGAAAUUUGAAAACAAAAAUGUUAUUAGUCAUUUCGAAGCGGUUUUACCAUUUAAUAUGCACAUAAGCAUUUAUAUAUAUUAGGCCUUUGUUGCUAUUGAUUAAAGAUUUGCAGAAACAAAUUGCUUAAAUUUGAGCGCAGGGUUGGAAAAAAAAGAGCAAAACAAAGGAAUAUCCGACGAGGAUCCUGCUGGUCCAAACUUAACAAGUCCAUUCUCUCUGCCAGUUUCGAUCCCAGGACCUAUUGAACUCGACUUCCUCAAAUCCAACGAUGUACGAGGGAACCGGCGACAUGGAACCUCCAAAUUGUUUAUUUAAGAUGCUUGAGAAUGUGGGCAAAAGUCGCAAAACACAACUCCCUUUGCUCUUUUGUAGUUACGUUUACAACUAGGACAUUACCCUGUUUACAUGAUAAACUUAAUCAAUCAAGUAGUUUCUUACUUUUA
Pyrus x bretschneideri (Chinese white pear) is the source of this 2416-nucleotide long non-coding RNA. RefSeq lists it as uncharacterized. The record is from RefSeq and is a predicted model, not a curated record. The transcript is spliced from 2 exons. NCBI's taxonomy places the organism in Eukaryota, Viridiplantae, Streptophyta, Magnoliopsida, Rosales, Rosaceae.